Molecule: unclassified non-coding RNA, 734 nt
Filed under: Hevea brasiliensis (rubber tree)
Lineage: Eukaryota; Viridiplantae; Streptophyta; Magnoliopsida; Malpighiales; Euphorbiaceae
Source: RNAcentral
UGCCUGCGGAAGACAUUUUCCAGGAAAAUAUUUUCCUUGUUUCCCAUUGUUUGAAGCAGCUAUAAUACAUUAUAUGCAGCUAUUUUUGUGGCCAAUUGAAGGGCAAGCAUCAAAAAGGAUUAUAGAAAAACAUAAAAUUCAGAUUCUGACCCGUUAAAUUUUCAGCCGCACCACCAAACCUGGUUCCAUCCUUUCUAGAUCAAUAUGAAUAACAGUAAGUUCAAGAACAUGGUAACAGUUUUGAAAUAUCAAUCCAAAUUGACAAUGAAAACUUCGCUGUCAGAGGAAGUAUCAUCGUCCCUAAAAGCAGAAAUCAUCUGUUGCUGGAAUGCUAUGAAUGAAAAUCUGGAAUGUAUCCAAUGAGUUUCUUGAUCUAUCUAUACCUUCAAGAUAUUGGAUGCCGCCUCCUUUUGGGUCGGCUUCGGUCUUCCUCAUAGUCCAUCACUCCACCAGGCUCAGAGUAGAUCUCCUCGUGCCCUCUGAAGUCAAUGUCGGCCUCCUUACAGUGUGUAACUUCUUGAGGGAGAGGGAAUUCUUUAGAGGGACUUCUUUACAUCUUCAACCCUAUCUUCCACAUCCUUUCGGUGCUUCUUGUCCAAUUCACUCAUAGUAUCAGCCCAUUUUAUCUUCUCUUGAAUCGAUACAAGUAGAUUCUCCGAUGUAGCCAACCAGUUUGAUAGUGUUUGUAACAUAUUCCCAAGUUGUCCAGGUCUCAGAUCCCUCCCAGCUGCAAA